UACGUAGGGUGCGAGCGUUAAUCGGAAUUACUGGGCGUAAAGCGUGCGCAGGCGGUUCGUUGUGUCUGAUGUGAAAGCCCCGGGCUCAACCUGGGAAUGGCAUUGGAAACUGGCGAGCUAGAGUGUGGCAGAGGGGGGUGGAAUUCCGCGUGUAGCAGUGAAAUGCGUAGAGAUGCGGAGGAACACCGAUGGCGAAGGCAGCCCCCUGGGCUAGCACUGACGCUCAGGCACGAAAGCGUGGGGAGCAAACAGG
Molecule: ribosomal RNA, 253 nt
Filed under: uncultured bacterium
Lineage: Bacteria
Description: partial 16S ribosomal RNA
Rfam family: Bacterial small subunit ribosomal RNA
Source: RNAcentral